CUCUGUGACUCCUACGGGAGGCAGCAGUGGGGAAUAUUGCACAAUGGGCGCAAGCCUGAUGCAGCCAUGCCGCGUGUAUGAAGAAGGCCUUCGGGUUGUAAAGCACUUUCAGUUGUGAGGAAGGUGGUGUCGUUAAUAGCGGCAUCAUUUGACGUUAGCAACAGAAGAAGCACCGGCUAACUCCGUGCCAGCAGCCGCGGUAAUACGGAGGGUGCGAGCGUUAAUCGGAAUUACUGGGCGUAAAGCGCAUGCAGGUGGUUUGUUAAGUCAGAUGUGAAAGCCCGGGGCUCAACCUCGGAACUGCAUUUGAAACUGGCAGACUAGAGUACUGUAGAGGGGGUAGAAUUUCAGGUGUAGCGGUGAAAUGCGUAGAGAUCUGAAGGAAUACCGGUGGCGAAGGCGGCCCCCUGGACAGAUACUGACACUCAGAUGCGAAAGCGUGGGGAGCAAACAGGAUUAGAUACCCUGGUAG
RNAcentral lists this ribosomal RNA (472 nucleotides) under uncultured bacterium. Its description in RNAcentral is "bacterial SSU rRNA". It matches the Rfam family "Bacterial small subunit ribosomal RNA", at positions 328 to 793 of the family's 1533-position model. The record is from RNAcentral.